Molecule: ribosomal RNA, 484 nt
Filed under: uncultured bacterium
Lineage: Bacteria
Description: partial 16S ribosomal RNA
Rfam family: Bacterial small subunit ribosomal RNA
Source: RNAcentral
AUUGAACGCUGGCGGCAGGCCUAACACAUGCAAGUCGAGCGGAUGAAGGGAGCUUGCUCCUGGAUUCAGCGGCGGACGGGUGAGUAAUGCCUAGGAAUCUGCCUGGUAGUGGGGGAUAACGUCCGGAAACGAGCGCUAAUACCGCAUACGUCCUGAGGGAGAAAGUGGGGGAUCUUCGGACCUCACGCUAUCAGAUGAGCCUAGGUCGGAUUAGCUAGUUGGUGGGGUAAAGGCCUACCAAGGCGACGAUCCGUAACUGGUCUGAGAGGAUGAUCAGUCACACUGGAACUGAGACACGGUCCAGACUCCUACGGGAGGCAGCAGUGGGGAAUAUUGGACAAAGGGCGAAAGCCUGAUCCAGCCAUGCCGCGUGUGUGAAGAAGGUCUUCGGAUUGUAAAGCACUUUAAGUUGGGAGGAAGGGCAGUAAGUUAAUACCUUGCUGUUUUGACGUUACCAACAGAAUAAGCACCGGCUAACUUCGUG